UUGAACGCUGGCGGCAGGCCUCACACAUGCCAGUCGAGCGGAUGAAGGGAGCUUGCUCCUGGAUUCAGCGGCGGACGGGUGAGUAAUGCCUAGGAAUCUGCCUGGUAGUGGGGGAUAACGUCCGGAAACGGGCGCUAAUACCGCAUACGUCCUGAGGGAGAAAGUGGGGGAUCUUCGGACCUCACGCUAUCAGAUGAGCCUAGGUCGGAUUAGCUAGUUGGUGGGGUAAAGGCCUACCAGGGCGACGAUCCGUAACUGGUCUGAGAGGAUGAUCAGUCACACUGGAACUGAGACACGGUCCAGACUCCUACGGGAGGCAGCAGUGGGGAAUAUUGGACAAUGGGCGAAAGCCUGAUCCAGCCAUGCCGCGUGUGUGAAGAAGGUCUUCGGAUUGUAAAGCACUUUAAGUUGGGAGGAAGGGCAGUAAGUUAAUACCUUGCUGUUUUGACGUUACCAACAGAAUAAGCACCGGCUAACUUCGUG
Molecule: ribosomal RNA, 483 nt
Filed under: uncultured bacterium
Lineage: Bacteria
Description: partial 16S ribosomal RNA
Rfam family: Bacterial small subunit ribosomal RNA
Source: RNAcentral